UUAAUGUGGGCCAUUAGCUCAGUUGGUUAGAGCGCCCGGCUCAUAACCGGUAGGUCUGGGGUUCGAGUCCCUGAUGGCCCACCACAUUAAAUUAAUUAAUAUAAAUUCGAGGUGUAGCGCAGUUUGGUAGCGCACAUGGUUUGGGACCAUGGGGCCGGGGGUUCGAGUCCCUUCACCUCGACCAAUAUAAGGUGGGUAUAGCUCAGUUGGUUAGAGCGCCAGAUUGUGGCUCUGGAGGUCGUGAGUUCGACUCUCAUUAUCCACCCCAAUUCAUAUGGUCUAUUAGCUCAGUCGGUAGAGCACCUGACUUUUAAUCAGGGUGUCCCGCGUUCGAGUCGCGGAUAGAUCACCAAAAAGGUGGCGACAUAGCCAAGUGGUAAGGCAGUGGACUGCAACUCCUUGAUCCCCAGUUCGAAUCUGGGUGUCGCCUCCAAAAUAUUCCAAGGUAGCUCAACGGUGGAGCAACCGGCUGUUAACCGGUAGGCUGUGGGUUCGAGCCCCACCCUUGGAGCCAAAAAAGCCGAAGUGGCGGAACUGGCAGACNAAGCAGUGAACUUAAGCCCCAGUAAACGGCGGCCGUAACUAUAACGGUCCUAAGGUAGCGAAAUUCCUUGUCGGGUAAGUUCCGACCCGCACGAAAGGCGUAACGAUUUGGGCACUGUCUCAACAACAGACUCGGUGAAAUUGUAAUUCCGGUGAAGAUGCCGGAUACCUGCGACAGGACGGAAAGACCCCAUGGAGCUUUACUGUAGCUUGACAUUGGGUCUUGGUACUACAUGUACAGGAUAGGUGGGAGGCUUUGAAACCAGGACGCCAGUUUUGGCGGAGCCAUCCUUGGGAUACCACCCUUGUAGUACUGGGACUCUAACCAUAGGCCAUGAAUCUGGUCUUGGGACACUGUCAGGUGGGCAGUUUGACUGGGGCGGUCGCCUCCCAAAAGGUAACGGAGGCGCUCAAAGGUUCUCUCAGUACGGUCGGAAAUCGUACGUAGAGUGUAAAGGCAAAAGAGAGCUUGAUUGCAAGACAUACAGGUCGAGCAAGGAUGAAAAUCGGACUUAGUGAUCCGGUGGUUCUGCGUGGAAGGGCCAUCGCUCAACGGAUAAAAGCUACCCUGGGGAUAACAGGCUUAUCUCCCCCAAGAGUCCACAUCGACGGGGAGGUUUGGCACCUCGAUGUCGGCUCAUCACAUCCUGGGGCUGUAGUAGGUCCCAAGGGUUGGGCUGUUCGCCCAUUAAAGUGGUACGCGAGCUGGGUUCAGAACGUCGUGAGACAGUUCGGUCCCUAUCCGUCGCAGGCGUAGGAAAUUUGAGAAGACCUGUCCUUAGUACGAGAGGACCGGGAUGGACGUACCUCUGGUGUACCAGUUGUCCUGCCAAGGGCAUGGCUGGGUAGCUAUGUACGGAAUGGAUAAGCGCUGAAAGCAUCUAAGCGCGAAGCCAACUUCAAGAUAAGAUUUCCCACCGCAAGGGUAAGACCCCAGAAAGACUAUCUGGUUGAUAGGUCGAAGGUGUAAGUGCAGCAAUGUAUUUAGCUUAUCGAUACUAAUAGGUCGAGGACUUGACCAA
RNAcentral lists this ribosomal RNA (1565 nucleotides) under Clostridioides difficile. Its description in RNAcentral is "bacterial LSU rRNA". It matches the Rfam family "Bacterial large subunit ribosomal RNA", at positions 1316 to 2925 of the family's 2925-position model. Lineage: Bacteria; Bacillati; Bacillota; Clostridia; Peptostreptococcales; Peptostreptococcaceae. The record is from RNAcentral.